This 1302-nucleotide ribosomal RNA is filed under the name Gambierdiscus sp. AKIG4. Its description in RNAcentral is "eukaryotic LSU rRNA". The stretch from base 988 to 1302 matches the Rfam family "Eukaryotic small subunit ribosomal RNA", at positions 34 to 373 of the family's 1831-position model. The record is from RNAcentral. Lineage: Eukaryota; Dinophyceae; Gonyaulacales; Pyrocystaceae.
UAAGUAGGCAGAGGAUGAGAUACACAACUGGAUUGGCACAGUAGUUGCGAAUGAACAGCAAAUUGCUCAAAUUGAAUUUGGGGACACCUGGCCCUCAACAUGAAAUCUCUGAAUGCUCCACCAACAAAGGCUCAGGAACAAAACCAUUCUGGAGGGGAUUGUGAAAGUGCCAACAGGGGUGAGAAUCCUGUGGUUCUUGCAGACCUUGUUCACGGUGUCUGCUUUCCAGAGUCAUGCUCCUUGGAACUGGAGUGCAAAGUGGGUGGUAGAUCAAUGACCAAGCCAAAACAUUCAUUGCUGGCUUUCUUUCUUUUGCAAUGCUGUGGCAUUCCACAAAAGCCGCAGGGUUACACACACUCUCCUUGACUGCAGCGUGCAAAUGAUCCUUCCGCAGGUUCACCUGACUUCUCCUUCCUCUAAGUGAUAAGGUUCACUGAACUUCUCGCUGCACUUCUCAGGAGCUGACGGGCACAACAGGCCCAAACUGUUCACCGGACCACUCAAUCGGUAGGAGCGACGGGCGGUGUGUACAAAAGGCAGGGACACAAUCAAUGCAAGUUGAUGACAUACAUUUACUAGGAAUUCCUCGUUCAGGAGCAAUAGUUGCAAUGUUCCAUCCCCAUCACGACGUAGGUUUGCAAGACUGCCCAACCUCUACAGGCAAGAUGGGGCACUCAGUGAGUACAUCAGUGCAGCGCGCGUGCAGCGCAGAACAUCUAAGGGCAUCACAGACUUGUUAUUGCCUAGAAAUGGCCACAGAAUCGCAAUUUCGUGUGACUACUUAGCAGGUUAAGGUCUCGUUCGUCAUCGGAAUUAACCCGACAAAUCACUCCACCAACUAAGAACGGCCAUGCACCACCACCCACAGAAUCAAGGAAGAGCUGUCAAUCUGUCAAUCCAACUUGUGGCAGGACCUCGUAAGUUUCCCCGUGAAGCAGCUCCAUGGCAACACUGUGCAUGGCUCAUUAACAGAGUCACAACCCAGGUGUCUCAAAGAUUAAGCCAUGCAUGUCUCAGUUUAAGCAGCUCCAUAGCAACACUGUGCAUGGCUCAUUGGGUUGUGGUCCUGCUACAUGGAUAUCUUCGGCAUUUCUGCAGCUAAUACAUGCACCAGCAUUCACCUGUGGUGAGUUGUGGUUGUUGCACUCAGAAUUAAUGCAAGCUGUGCUUGAUGACCAGAUGAAUCAUUACAACUGCAUGGAUUGUGGUUUGUACACUGUUGAUGCUCUAUCAUUCUGACCUAUCAGCUUCCGAUGGCAGGGUAAAGGCCUACCGUGGCAGUGACAGGUGACUUGGGAGUGU